RNAcentral lists this transfer RNA (37 nucleotides) under Artocarpus odoratissimus. RNAcentral describes it as "partial tRNA-His". The record is from RNAcentral. Lineage: Eukaryota; Viridiplantae; Streptophyta; Magnoliopsida; Rosales; Moraceae.
GCGGAUGUAGCCAAGUGGAUCAAGGCAGUGGAUUUGA